Molecule: long non-coding RNA, 1196 nt
Organism: Zingiber officinale
Lineage: Eukaryota; Viridiplantae; Streptophyta; Magnoliopsida; Zingiberales; Zingiberaceae
Exons: 3
Source: RefSeq, a predicted model, not a curated record
AUGACUUAUGGUUUCCUGUACUUUUGAAGUUUGGACUUCUGACAGCUUCAAACUCGUAUAUGAAACUUAGAAACCUAUUCUAUAUUUUGGUUAUCAAUUAUUGAUGUUGGUGUUGUUGUUAUUCUGUCAAGCUAACUUCAUACUAUAAGGCAAAAUUCAUCAACUAUUUUCCCUCCAUGGGCACAUUGAUUUGGAGGAAGUUGAAUUUUAUUUCUUUCUAAUUAACCAUGGCUGUGAACCUAUCCUCUGGUUCUCCUUACAAUUUUUUUUUUCCUUUUUCUGUUUAUUCUAUGAGAACAUUUUGUUUACUAUACUGAUUGGUCUAAGAUUCCUUCAUUAGUUUGUCUAGAUUGAGAAGACUAUACUCUUCUUUCUGGAGCAACAAGGAAUUAUUGCACACAGGAUUCAAGAGUUGGGAGAGGAGCGUACUAUACUUCUUGAGCAUCCAGAGAUAUCUAAGCUAUAUCUAAUUUGCAACAAGCAUAUAUUGAAGUUGGACAUGAUCUUUUAAAGCUUCUCAGAUUUGUAGAUAUGAAUGCUACUGGGAUUCGUAAAAUUUUGAAAAAAUUUGAUAAAUGAUUUGGCUACAAGUUCACUGAUUACUAUCUAAGUACUAGAUCAAAUCAUCCUUAUUCUCAGAUACAACAAGUAUUUAAGCAUGUGGAGCCUUGUCUCGCAAUCUUGUUGAGCUUCAAGAACACCAAGGAAGUUAUCUCUCUCUUUAUGAUCAACCCUCAACAACUAUUGUGGUGCAAGACCCUGUCAUUUGCUUAAUACAAGCAUCAGUGGAAAAAUUGACUUGCUCAACAAAUUUCUUGAAAUUCUUGGGACAACAUGCACUUAUCCAAGAAGCUGAGGAACAUGUUGAUGAGAGAAGAUAUCACUUUGUGUCACUUCUUUUGAACUUGGUUAAUACUUUUCUUUAUAUGGUCAACACUUAUAUCAUUGUGCCAACUGCUGAUGACUACUCGAUGAGCCUUGGAGCUGCUGCAACAGUUUCUGGGAUCAUUAUUGGUUCUAUGGCUGUAGCACAAGUGUUCUCUUCAGUUUAUUUUAGUGCAUGGUCUAACAAGUCAUACUUCAGACCUCUGGUAUUUAGCAGCAUCGUACUCUUUUUGGGCAACGUUCUCUAUGCAUUGGCCUAUGAUCUCAACUCCUUGACAAUUCUUCUCAUAGGUCGACUUAUGUGUGGGAUG